Molecule: long non-coding RNA, 725 nt
Organism: Salvia miltiorrhiza (redroot sage)
Lineage: Eukaryota; Viridiplantae; Streptophyta; Magnoliopsida; Lamiales; Lamiaceae
Exons: 3
Source: RefSeq, a predicted model, not a curated record
UACUUUUGGGCCAUAAUUGAACAUUUCAAAUUGUCUAUUGGGCCUUAUUUCAAAUUACUUACCGCCCUUAAGAGCCCAAAACUCUGGUUAUCAUUUUCAGUUACAUUUUUAUUAAUUUCUCCCUAUCCAGCCGCAAUUCUCGAUUUUUCUCAUCCUCAGCCACACAUUUUAAUUCUUAGGGAGCAAGUAUUUGUCCUCAGCCACAAAUUUCACUUUCAAAUCCUUGAAGAGCAAGAAAUUCACCCUAUUUAAACUUCAAUUCAUCCCCAAUUCGUUUUUUUUCCUCAUCUGUGCACUUCACCGUAUAAACUCAAUCGGCUACUUCUCACUGCACAUCAUCAAUUGGUGCGGCGCGACUAGGAACGUGAACUUUAAAUUCUCGCAGUUAAUUUCAAGUUCAAGUUACAGUUAUAUCGCUAGGGGCCCGCUCAAUGGGUCCAGGACUUCACCGUCCUUGGUAUGCCACAAUGCGAUUUCAUGUUACAGUUAAGGUUGCAACCUAUUCGCCAGGGGCCUGCUCAAUGGGUCCAGGACUUUAAAGUCCUUGGUAUGCCACCGUGCGAAUUUCAGUUAUCAGUACAGUGCAGUGCGUAUGUGUUGACCAUUUUAUUAACGUGGACAAUUAUUGCAUGUUUCCCACACUGAGUAUAUUUCAUAUGCUCAUCCCAUAUUUAACAUUUUCAGGUAACUAAGGUUGGAGACGCGUGGAGGAUCGAAUGGGCGCG